CAUAAGCAGGUAUUUCCAUUUGAUCAUACCCAAAAUGAUAAUGUAUACACUAACUUAAGAUGAUGGCUCUUCUACUCUGCUAACAUAACAUGCAUGUGCUUGUGUGGAGUGCCUACAAAAUUAAUAGCUCAAGUCUCUCAACACGCGGAUGGAUGAUGUUGUGGAGAGGGCCACCGAGAGGGGGUUUGCAUUGCCAAAGUUGAAGGUGGCCAUCGCCUUGACCUGCCUGGACCUCCUGACCUUUCACAACGCUCAAACAGGAAACACAUGUUGGAGGAGGAGACCACAAGCUAAUUGAUGAUUUGGAUGAGUGGAUCAGAGGACGACAUGAGCAGAUGUGGAGAGGGUUCUCCUAGCGGUCAUUGCAACUGUGAUAUGCAUUUCCUUGCUCUCGGCUCUGAUCAAGUUUGUAGCGUCUGGGAUGCAUAUGAAAAUCCACACGUGCGAUUUGGUUGUUAUAUUUUUUCCACACUGGUUUCUAGAGAUGUUCAAGUUAUCUCAUAUACUAUAUCGAAUUAUAAUGGAUAAGUUAGUGUACAUACUGAUUUGAAGAUCCUUUUGCUGUCAUACACAUAUUACUGCAGGACCAUAGCGGACCAUUGCAAUGCGGCAAAUCAAAUUUCAAUACUCAACACUCUUCU
Long non-coding RNA from Triticum aestivum (bread wheat), 641 nucleotides. RefSeq lists it as uncharacterized. NCBI's taxonomy places the organism in Eukaryota, Viridiplantae, Streptophyta, Magnoliopsida, Poales, Poaceae. The transcript is spliced from 3 exons. The record is from RefSeq and is a predicted model, not a curated record.